This 500-nucleotide ribosomal RNA is filed under the name uncultured bacterium. Its description in RNAcentral is "partial 16S ribosomal RNA". It matches the Rfam family "Bacterial small subunit ribosomal RNA", at positions 30 to 523 of the family's 1533-position model. The record is from RNAcentral.
AUUGAACGCUGGCGGAAUGCUUUACACAUGCAAGUCGAACGGCAGCACGGACUUCGGUCUGGUGGCGAGUGGCGAACGGGUGAGUAAUGUAUCGGAACGUGCCCAGUCGUGGGGGAUAACGUAGUGAAAAUUACGCUAAUACGGCAUACGAUCUAUGGAUGAAAGAGGGGGACCGCAAGACCUCGCGCGAUUGGAGCGGCCGAUAUCAGAUUAGGUAGUUGGUGGGGUAAAGGCCCACCAAGCCAACGAUCUGUAGCUGGUCUGAGGGGACGACCAGCCACACUGGAACGUAGACACGGUCCAGACUCCUACUUGAGGCAGCAGUGUGGAAUUGUGGACAAUGGGCGAUAGCCUGAUCCAGCCAUUCCGCGUGCAGGAUGAAGCCACUCGGGUUGUAAAUUGCUUUUGUACAGAACGAAAAGGUUUCUACUAAUACUAGGAGCUCAUGACGGUACUGUAAGAAUAAGCACCGGCUAACUACGUGCCAGCCGCCGCCGUAA